This 675-nucleotide ribosomal RNA is filed under the name Escherichia coli. RNAcentral describes it as "partial 23S ribosomal RNA". It matches the Rfam family "Bacterial large subunit ribosomal RNA", at positions 1070 to 1746 of the family's 2925-position model. The record is from RNAcentral. Lineage: Bacteria; Pseudomonadati; Pseudomonadota; Gammaproteobacteria; Enterobacterales; Enterobacteriaceae.
ACGAUGUGGGAAGGCCCAGACAGCCAGGAUGUUGGCUUAGAAGCAGCCAUCAUUUAAAGAAAGCGUAAUAGCUCACUGGUCGAGUCGGCCUGCGCGGAAGAUGUAACGGGGCUAAACCAUGCACCGAAGCUGCGGCAGCGACGCUGAUGCGUUGUUGGGUAGGGGAGCGUUCUGUAAGCCUGCGAAGGUGUGCUGUGAGGCAUGCUGGAGGUAUCAGAAGUGCGAAUGCUGACAUAAGUAACGAUAAAGCGGGUGAAAAGCCCGCUCGCCGGAAGACCAAGGGUUCCUGUCCAACGUUAAUCGGGGCAGGGUGAGUCGACCCCUAAGGCGAGGCCGAAAGGCGUAGUCGAUGGGAAACAGGUUAAUAUUCCUGUACUUGGUGUUACUGCGAAGGGGGGACGGAGAAGGCUAUGUUGGCCGGGCGACGGUUGUCCCGGUUUAAGCGUGUAGGCUGGUUUUCCAGGCAAAUCCGGAAAAUCAAGGCUGAGGCGUGAUGACGAGGCACUACGGUGCUGAAGCAACAAAUGCCCUGCUUCCAGGAAAAGCCUCUAAGCAUCAGGUAACAUCAAAUCGUACCCCAAACCGACACAGGUGGUCAGGUAGAGAAUACCAAGGCGCUUGAGAGAACUCGGGUGAAGGAACUAGGCAAAAUGGUGCCGUAACUUCGGGAGAAGG